RNAcentral lists this ribosomal RNA (406 nucleotides) under uncultured bacterium. RNAcentral describes it as "partial 16S ribosomal RNA". It matches the Rfam family "Bacterial small subunit ribosomal RNA", at positions 29 to 526 of the family's 1533-position model. The record is from RNAcentral.
AUUGAACGCUGGCGGCAGGCCUAACACAUGCAAGUCGAACGAGUGGCGGACGGGGGAAUAAUGUCGGGGAAACUUCCUGAGGGAGGGGGAUAACUACUGGAAACGGUAGCUAAUACCGCAUACCAUCGGAUGUGCCCAUAGGGGAUGCGCGAGUAGGUGGGGUAAAGGCUCACCUAGGCGACGAUCCCUAGCUGCUCUGAGAGGAUGACCAGCCACACUGGAACUGAGACAAGGUCCAGAAGCCUACGGGAGGCAGCAGUGGGGAAUAUUGCACAAUGGGCGCAAGCCUGAUGCAGCCAUGCCGCGUGUAUGAAGAAGGCCUUCGGGUUGUAAAGUACUUUCAGCGGGGAGGCGUUACCCGCAGAAGAAGCACCGGCUAACUCCGUGCCAGCAGCCGCGGUAAUUC